GAUGAACGCUAGCUACAGGCUUAACACAUGCAAGUCGAGGGGAAACGGCAUUAAGUGCUUGCACUUUUUGGACGUCGACCGGCGCACGGGUGAGUAACGCGUAUCCAACCUUCCCAUGACUAAGGGAUAACCUGCCGAAAGGCAGACUAAUACCUUAUGGUCUUCACUGACGGCAUCAGAUGUGAAGUAAAGAUUUAUCGGUUAUGGAUGGGGAUGCGUCUGAUUAGUUAGUUGGCGGGGUAACGGCCCACCAAGGCAACGAUCAGUAGGGGUUCUGAGAGGAAGGUCCCCCACAUUGGAACUGAGACACGGUCCAAACUCCUACGGGAGGCAGCAGUGAGGAAUAUUGGUCAAUGGGCGAGAGCCUGAACCAGCCAAGUAGCGUGCAGGACGACGGCCCUAUGGGUUGUAAACUGCUUUUGUAUGGGGAUAAAGUCAAUCACGUGUGAUUGUUUGCAGGUACCAUACGAAUAAGGACCGGCUAAUUCCGUGCCAGCAGCCGCGGUAAUACGGAAGGUCCGGGCGUUAUCCGGAUUUAUUGGGUUUAAAGGGAGCGUAGGCUGGAGAUUAAGUGUGUUGUGAAAUGUAGACGCUCAACGUCUGACUUGCAGCGCAUACUGGUUUCCUUGAGUACGCACAACGUUGGCGGAAUUCGUCGUGUAGCGGUGAAAUGCUUAGAUAUGACGAAGAACUCCGAUUGCGAAGGCAGCUGACGGGAGCGCAACUGACGCUGAAGCUCGAAGGUGCGGGUAUCGAACGGG
This 761-nucleotide ribosomal RNA is filed under the name Prevotella melaninogenica. Its description in RNAcentral is "bacterial SSU rRNA". It matches the Rfam family "Bacterial small subunit ribosomal RNA", at positions 28 to 776 of the family's 1533-position model. The record is from RNAcentral. Lineage: Bacteria; Pseudomonadati; Bacteroidota; Bacteroidia; Bacteroidales; Prevotellaceae.